GUGAGAGGGUCAUGAGGUGCUUCUGUUUCACUACAUAGCUGGGAGGAGUGUGAGGGUCAUGAGGUGCUUCUGUUUCACUCUACAUAGCUGGGAGGAGUGUGAGGGUCAUGAGGUGCUUCUGUUUCACUACAUAGGUGGGAGGAGUGUGAGGGUCAUGAGGUGCUUCUGUUUCACUCUACAUAGCUGGGAGGAGUGAGAGGGUCAUGAGGUGCUUCUGUUUCACUACAUAGCUGGGAGGAGUGUGAGGGUCAUGAGGUGC
Long non-coding RNA from Homarus americanus (American lobster), 259 nucleotides. RefSeq lists it as uncharacterized. NCBI's taxonomy places the organism in Eukaryota, Metazoa, Arthropoda, Malacostraca, Decapoda, Nephropidae. The transcript has 4 exons. The record is from RefSeq and is a predicted model, not a curated record.